RNAcentral lists this ribosomal RNA (876 nucleotides) under Micrococcus luteus. Its description in RNAcentral is "bacterial SSU rRNA". It matches the Rfam family "Bacterial small subunit ribosomal RNA", at positions 564 to 1436 of the family's 1533-position model. The record is from RNAcentral. Lineage: Bacteria; Bacillati; Actinomycetota; Actinomycetes; Micrococcales; Micrococcaceae.
AGAGCUAGUAGUCGGUUCUGUCGCGUCGUAGUGAAAGUCCGGGGCUAACCCCGGAUCUGCGGUGGGUACGGGCAGACUAGACCGCAGUAGGGGAGACUGGAAUUCCUGGUGUAGCGGUGGAAAUGCGCAGAUAUCAGGAGGAACACCGAUGGCGAAGGCAGGUCUCUGGGCUGUAACUGACGCUGAGGAGCGAAAGCAUGGGGAGCGAACAGGAUUAGAUACCCUGGUAGUCCAUGCCGUAAACGUUGGGCACUAGGUGUGGGGACCAUUCCACGGUUUCCGCGCCGCAGCUAACGCAUUAAGUGCCCCGCCUGGGGAGUACGGCCGCAAGGCUAAAACUCAAAGGAAUUGACGGGGGCCCGCACAAGCGGCGGAGCAUGCGGAUUAAUUCGAUGCAACGCGAAGAACCUUACCAAGGCUUGACAUGUUCUCGAUCGCCGUAGAGAUACGGUUUCCCCUUUGGGGCGGGUUCACAGGUGGUGCAUGGUUGUCGUCAGCUCGUGUCGUGAGAUGUUGGGUUAAGUCCCGCAACGAGCGCAACCCUCGUUCCAUGUUGCCAGCACGUCGUGGUGGGGACUCAUGGGAGACUGCCGGGGUCAACUCGGAGGAAGGUGAGGACGACGUCAAAUCAUCAUGCCCCUUAUGUCUUGGGCUUCACGCAUGCUACAAUGGCCGGUACAAUGGGUUGCGAUACUGUGAGGUGGAGCUAAUCCCAAAAAGCCGGUCUCAGUUCGGAUUGGGGUCUGCAACUCGACCCCAUGAAGUCGGAGUCGCUAGUAAUCGCAGAUCAGCAACGCUGCGGUGAAUACGUUCCCGGGCCUUGUACACACCGCCCGUCAAGUCACGAAAGUUGGUAACACCCGAAGCCGGUGGCCU